Nematostella vectensis (starlet sea anemone) is the source of this 251-nucleotide long non-coding RNA. RefSeq lists it as uncharacterized. The transcript has 2 exons. NCBI's taxonomy places the organism in Eukaryota, Metazoa, Cnidaria, Anthozoa, Actiniaria, Edwardsiidae. The record is from RefSeq and is a predicted model, not a curated record.
AUUUACGAAUCAUUUAACAGAAGCUUUGAUUAGAUCUUACCUAUUCCCUGUAAUAACACCUGAAAGACUAGAAAAUGCAUCAGCUUUGUUUUUGGAGGGGAUUACAAGCAUCUUGAAAUCCAAGGCAGUAAAAGCUGUACAUAGCACCGAAAUCCGUAUUGAUCAUGACAUAGUAAGAUACAUAUUUAAGGGCUGUGGUAAAUUAGCUGCUGACAAGAAGUCUAUGUUUUAUGAGAAAUCUGAUUUCAAAA